UACGAAGGGGGCGAGCGUUGUUCGGAAUUACUGGGCGUAAAGGGCGCGCAGGCGGCUCUGAAAGUCAGAUGUGAAAGCCCCGGGCUUAACCUGGGAAUUGCAUUUGAUACUCUGGAGCUUGAGUGUGGGAGAGGAGAGUGGAAUUCCCAGUGUAGAGGUGAAAUUCGUAGAUAUUCGGAAGAACACCAGUGGCGAAGGCGGCUCACUGGCCCGGUACUGACGCUGAGAUACGAAAGCGUGGGGAGCAAACAGG
RNAcentral lists this ribosomal RNA (253 nucleotides) under uncultured bacterium. RNAcentral's name for it is "partial 16S ribosomal RNA". It matches the Rfam family "Bacterial small subunit ribosomal RNA", at positions 524 to 776 of the family's 1533-position model. The record is from RNAcentral.